CUUUCAUCAGUGCACUGCAGGACCAGACUAUUUGGAGAAGAGAGAAGCAAGAGAUAGUUGGAAUUGAAUAUUUCCUAGGCCUUUCCACACUACAUGAAUAACUCAAGGCCUUCAAGCCGAUACCGGAGAAGGCAGAGCCGAUCGUGAAGACACUUUGCCUCAUGCAAUGCCUCAUAGCUGUAAAGAGGAGUAUGGAAAUGCAGAUCUUAAUGCGAUGAUCAAUCACUGGAAAUCUUAACAAGAUGGGCUACCCAUCGUUAGUGCUUGCGGAAGUCAAGAUACAGACUUUGUAGAAACUGGAACAGAGCCAAGGGCAGCUAAAUGAUUUGCCAUGCCUAGUGCAAAAUGAAAAUGUGGAACCCUUGUUCAAACAUUAAGAAUUUCAAGAUGGCUACAUUAGAGAAUUAAACAAAGUACAAGGACCUUCUAAGUGGUAUACCCAUGAAGCUGGCUCUGCAGAAAGCCUCUAAGUUCAGGAGUACCACACAGAGGGGAGGGCAGGUAUGAGGCAUGGUACUGAAAGUGAAAUUACAUAAAUAUCUAUACGCUCAAUGGUGAGGUGCCAAUCCUCCACCCUCAAUGACAGCCUACUGUCAUUCAGGCUAUAACUCCCUUGAGAAGUCUGGAGGCCCCACCUACUGAGGAACUGAACUACCUUAGAGAAAGAUACUGGCAUUUGGUAGUUUCCAGCAUAAAUUCUAUCUGGCUGCCCAAAUACACACACUGACAGACCGCCUGGAGAUAAUUUCCAGCCACCUGGAGACAAGCCCCACCCAUAUACACAGAGCUUCUGGAGGCUUUUGGUGUUUCACUAAGAAAGAGUUCCCAGGUACUUGAGGAAAUAAAUAACAACAGCAACACAAAAAGAGCUAUAAACAGAGAAAAAAGAACAGAGAGACAAUAGAGACAAUGCAGGGAGCAGAAUGACAUUUUAGAGAGAAAAUGUUAAUAUUAAAAAUAGUCAUAAUCAAACUAGUGUCAAAUUGCCUUUUGGCAACACUUUUCCCUUCAUACUUUCUCCUGUAACACAGAAGCUGGAAGCUGGGGAGCGUCAUUUCUCAAAAUCUUUGCCAGCCAGCAGGUUCAACGCCAAUGUGAGGCACUUUCAUGAUCCAGAUUCAGAAAGCAGAAGAACAACGAAAGCUGCUCUGGCUACUUCAGGAUUGGAAAGCAAAGAUGUGAUUUUAACAGGCAGCAGGUGUGCAGUGUCGCCAGCAGCUUUCAGGCAUUCUCUUGUGAAAAUUGCUUUGGUGUUGCAGACAUCAAUCAUGCUUUUCUGAGAUUCCUAUAUCUUCCUUAUUUCCUGAAAGGCAGGGGUGGCUUUAUCUAAUCUAUGUUUCAUAGUCUUUCCAUAUUUUUAAGAACCCAUUUCUCUGAAUUAAAUAUGUUCCUGCUUGAAAUAUCCAGUGGAGUUUGUUUUCUGACAGAUCUCUGACUGAUAAAAUAAUAGGUAACAUUUAUAUAGCGUUUGUUAUGUAGCAAGAACUGCUCUUUAUUAUAUUUUAUGUUUGAAGUAUAUAUUAUUAAUUUUAACUAUAAUUUUUAUAUUAUUCAAAUGCCAAGCCGUUAGAAAAAUACGUACGUGACACAUACCGUGAUACAUGGUUUAUCUUCCCAUACUCCCUAUUCCCAUCCCAACAGUAUGUAACAAUUUUAAAUAUAUUUCUGUUUAUCUUUCUAGUUUUUCUAAUUGAAAAUAUCAACAUCUUGAAUAAAAAAACCAAAGAGGAAUAAUAUGAUAUUUAUGGUAUAUGCUGGGGGAUUGAAAAUAUAUCUAAUAGGAGGUCUCCAAAGAGAAAACUAAGAAAAUGGAUGGAGUAUUAUACAAAAACAGCAAAAAGAUAUUUUCCCAGAACUGAAAGAAAUGGUUAUAUAUUCUAAAAGCUUCAUUGAGUACUCAGCAUAAAGAUCUACCCAAAGGCAUGUAAGAACACCAGGGAUACAGAGAAGAUCUCACAAAUUUCAGGAAAAAAAAACAAUUGCAUGCAAAGAAUUAGGAAUUUCAAUGCCGUGAGACUUUCAAAGUAGUAGUGGACACUAGAAGACAAUAGAAUAAUGCCUUCAAUAUUCUGAGUGAAAUGAUUUUAAUCCAAAUUUUAUACCCACCCUAAGUAUCAAUCAAGUAUAAAGUCAAUGUUAGGACAUUUUAUUGAUAUCAAAUUCUCAAAAAUAUUAAGCUUCUCUGUAUUCCUUCUUAAGUCACUGGAGGAUAUGCUCCACCAAGAUGAGGAAGAAAACAAAUAUAGAGUAAAAUAUGGGAUCCAGGAAACAGGGAAUCCAACACAGGAAAGAGAAGUAGGCAUUCCAAGGACCAUACUUUUAUAGCAGAAGACUUGGUGGGCAAUUAGACCAGAUAGGAACAUGAAGACAGAAGGUGAAAAAUAGAGCUGAUAGAUUGUCUGAAGUUUGAUGUCAGGACUAUGCAAGAGAUUUGAAGAAAAAUAAGCAGAU
RNAcentral lists this long non-coding RNA (2451 nucleotides) under Equus caballus (horse). RNAcentral describes it as "lncRNA (ENSECAG00000048081.1)". The record is from RNAcentral. Lineage: Eukaryota; Metazoa; Chordata; Mammalia; Perissodactyla; Equidae.